RNAcentral lists this long non-coding RNA (2245 nucleotides) under Oryza sativa (Asian cultivated rice). RNAcentral describes it as "long non-coding RNA (OSAT_LNC000940)". The record is from RNAcentral. Lineage: Eukaryota; Viridiplantae; Streptophyta; Magnoliopsida; Poales; Poaceae.
UAAAAUAAUUAGUAUACCAUCAUAAAUUUCCAUUGUAGCUGUUUCUAUCAGCGACUUACUAGUUGCAUGUACUCCUUGUGUUACUUAAACAAGAAGGUAGAAUCUUCGAAAUCAUAGUCUGAUUAUAUUGUCGAUCAAAUUCCACUCCCAGCAUCUCCAAUGAUUAAUGUUGAACCAAAGCGGAAUGUAUCAUCCAAGAGUAACUAAGUGGUAAAUCAGUCGUUUGUCCAUAUCAUGCCGCCACCAUUGCGAUGAAAUCCAACCGGUUAUGAUACCGCCAUAAGGAUGCCUCACCAAUUAAGAUGGAACUUCCAACGCGACGCCUUCAAGAAGGUUGCAACACUAAUUUAGAACAUCGUCUUCAUCGCUAUUCCAGAAAUAUGUGCUGUCGCCGGCCACCUAGCUACAUCCAAAAUAUGUAUAAUUCAUUGGCUUCCCAAAUUUUAAUAGGAUUGCUUUAGGCAACAAACAAAACAGGUUCCAAUUUCAGAGUAUAAAGUAUUGGAUAUGGGACUUACACGUCACUCUAUUUCUUGCCUUCAUGUUCUUUGUUCACUAUUGGUUGACUACAUCUAUAUAUAUCGAAGUAAUUAAAUAUAUAUAUAGGUUUUGUAUCUAUAGAUACACAUUCAUAUAUAUGCACUCGAUAUAUAUAGACGCACAUCUUCUCUUCCAAAAGCUGGAAUACUCGAUCCUCACAGUCACACAGCUAGCAACGCCGGCGGCCAUGCAACCACUCGCUGCCGGCGGCGGCGUCUCUUGGCCGUUGUACGCCGCCACCGUCGCGGCGGCGCUGCUCGUCACCGCCAUCGUCCUGCGGCUCGCCGCGCGGUCGACGGCGGCCGCCUGCAAGGCACGUCCCCCCGCCGGGUCUCUCGGCUGGCCGCUCGUCGGCGAGACGCUGCAGUUCAUCUCCGCCGCCUACUCCUCCCGCCCCGAGUCCUUCGUCGAGAAGCGCUGCCGCCGGUGAGCACCACCGCCGCCGCCAUGGCACCGGCAGCGCGCGUACGUAGUAGCUGCGUCUGUGGUGCUGAAAAUUUCUCUUGUUCUUGUUGAUUGAUUGAUUCCGUAGGUACGGGAAGGUGUUCAGGUCGCACCUGUGGGGGUCGCCGGCGGUGGUGAGCGCGGACGCCGAGGCGAGCCGCGCGGUGCUGCAGAGCGACGCGUCGGCGUUCGUGCCGUGGUACCCGAGGUCGCUGAUGGAGCUGAUGGGGGAGUCGUCCAUCCUGGUGCUCGGCGGCGCCCUCCAGCGCCGGGUGCACGGCCUCGCCGGCGCCUUCUUCAAGUCGCCGGAGCUCAAGGCCCGGGUCACCGCCGACAUGCGCAGCCGCCUCGCCGCCGCCAUGGACGCGUGGCGCGCCACCGCCGCCACCGGCGCCGGCGCGGCCGUGCGCGUCCAGGACGAGGCCAAGUUGGUACGUACGUGGCAUGACACGCGCUGCUACCUACCUAGCUAUAGCUAAGCUAGGCUAACCCAAGAGAAUAUGAGGAGUAGCUUGCAUUGGAGUGGAUCGUUUGUCCGUUUAUAAGUGUCUUUUUUCUUCAACUAAUAGUGAAAUUCAUAGGAAUUUCUUCCUAGAGAAACUUCAACCCCUAUAGAAAUGGGGAUCAGAGCCUAGUUAUCAUGUUUAUGGUUUACCUAGUUCAUUAUUAGUAAUAUCUACGGAAGUACUAGAUAUCCCAGUAUAUAUAGGAUUCUACAACAUAUGGACCGAGCUCCUAACUUGAUGAAAAAGUCUUAGCCUAGCUAGAAAUAUAUCCCUUUAUGCAAAAAAAAUAUCUCGAUAAUAUUGCGUACAAUAAUGCAAACUAUAUUAAUUUUCUUAUAAAAUUUCUAGUGUGUAAGAUGAUUGUAUGUGGGAAAUAUGUAUUCUCUAUAUUAUCUUUUUUUUGUUUUUAUAUAUAGUAAUAAAUUUUAUUGUCUACGUACGUGGCACAUCUUAUUGACUUCGAUUCAAAAAGUCAAAAAAUAAUGCCAUGCUUAUACUGUACACUUAAUUGGCAUUUUUCCGUCGAAUGUGGAAUUAUAGAACUCCUUGUUCUUUAAUUUAUUUGUUCUGAUGUUGACUGGCUAACUUAAUCAUUUUUUUUUUGUUCCAUCGCUUCAUAGAUUGUUUUUGAAAUCUUAGUGAGGGCACUGAUAGGGUUAGAGCAAGGUCAGGAAAUGAAUUACCUCAGGCAGCAGUUCCACAUAUUCAUUGCCGGCCUGAUCUCCCUGCCCAUCAAGCUUCCAGGGACUCAGCUC